Nicotiana attenuata is the source of this 1013-nucleotide long non-coding RNA. RefSeq lists it as uncharacterized. NCBI's taxonomy places the organism in Eukaryota, Viridiplantae, Streptophyta, Magnoliopsida, Solanales, Solanaceae. The record is from RefSeq and is a predicted model, not a curated record. The transcript is spliced from 8 exons.
AAAGCCAAAAAUCAGGGCAAGGCACUCUCUCUAGCUGCUUCAGCCGCAUCGUCAUAUACAAUCUUCUGCAGUUUUAGUACCCAAUGUGCAAUUCACUUUUACCAACAAGGUGUAUGAAAUCUAUACGGAUGCCAUCUACGCUCCUUGCCGUCUAAAACCUACCUAGUCAAAGGCGAGAGCUGGAAAUCAAGAGGUUCAUUUUCUUCCGUUCAAUCCAACUGAUAAGCUCACAGCUAUAACAUAUCUUGACAGUGAAGGCAAAAUGCAUCGACUCAGUAAAGGUGCCCCUGAACAGGAAGUUCCUGAAGGAAGAAAGGAGUCUCGAGGAGAUCCGUGGCAAUUUAUUGGUCUCAUGCCUCUUUUUGAUCCACCACGGCAUGUGAUAGUGCAGCGACAAUUAGAAGGGCCUUAAAUCUUGGCGUGAAUGUGAAAAUGAUCACUGCGGAUGCGAGAAAGAUGUCAGAAAUCUGCUCGGGGUCAAGAUUGGACUUCUAUACUUUAUUUGGACUGGGUGGUGGCAGCCAUGUUCUCAUCUUCACAUUUGUAAUAUAGAGAUCUGUUGGAAUCUUUUGGGACAUUAAGUGAUCAACUAGCGAUUGGAAAGGAGACAAGACGCCGUUUAGGAAUGGGAAAUAAUAUAUAUCCUGCUGCUUCUUUACUAGGCCAGGAUAAGGAUGAGUCUACUGCAACUUUGCCUGUUGAUGAGCUGAUUGAAAAAGCAGAUGGUUUCGCUGGUGUUUUUCCUGUUGCAGGAACUAGCUAGUAAGAAGAGCAAUUACCCAUCAUCGAGAGCUACGGCCAAUAGAGCAUCCUCUCGUAAAGGUUGUUAAGUUGAAGAAACAAGAAAGAAAUGGAUAAUAAGCUAGCAAAGUUGGAUAGACGACUGGAAUAAAAAUUUCGAAGGAUGUUUGCUGCUCGUGCAACUCUUCUGGAGGAGCCCAGAAAGCAUCCAGAUUGAUUGAGACAUGAAUGAUUAUUUUUUCUCUCUUGUAAAUCAUAUUGAUAUGUUUGAG